Molecule: ribosomal RNA, 546 nt
Filed under: uncultured Glomeromycotina
Lineage: Eukaryota; Fungi; Glomeromycota
Description: SSU rRNA
Rfam family: Eukaryotic small subunit ribosomal RNA
Source: RNAcentral
UUGGAGGGCAAGUCUGGUGCCAGCAGCCGCGGUAAUUCCAGCUCCGAUAGCGUAUAUUAAAGUUGACGCAGUUAAAAAGCUCGUAGUUGAAUUUCGGGAUCAAUUUGUUGGUCGUGCCUCGGUACGUACUGGCAUUAUUGGUUUCUACCUUCUGAAGAACCUUGAUGUCAUUAAUUUGGUGUCUUGGGGAAUCAGGACUGUUACUUUGAAAAAAUUAGAGUGUUUAAAGCAGGCAUACGCUUGAAUACAUUAGCAUGGAAUAAUGAGAUAGGACGUUUGAUUCUAUUUUGUUGGUUUCUAGGAUCGACGUAAUGAUUAAUAGGGAUAGUUGGGGGCAUUAGUAUUCAAUGGUCAGAGGUGAAAUUCUUGGAUUUAUUGAAGACUAACUACUGCGAAAGCAUUUGCCAAGGAUGUUUUCAUUAAUCAAGAACGAAAGUUAGGGGAUCGAAGACGAUCAGAUACCGUCGUAGUCUUAACCAUAAACUAUGCCGACUAGGGAUCGGAUGAUGUUAUUUUUAAUGACUCAUUCGGCGCCUUACGGGAAAC